ACUCUAUUACUCAAUGAUUGGUGUGUGGCUUUUGACCUACAUUCACUAGUUCGUGUUCUCAAAUGCUCACCAGUUCUUGAGAAACUCACUCUUCAGCUUCUUAAUGACAGGGACGUUGUAAGCACAGUGGGAGUCGAAGGACACCAUGAUCCAGAACUAUCAUCUCUAUGAGAAGGUUCACAAGGCUUGGAAUAUCUUGAGGACAUGUGGCAUAGUUCCAGAGAAAAUCUGCAUCAAAACUUGACAGUCAAGCUUGAACAAAAAGUUAACUAUUGUCAUUCUUCAUGAUUGGCUUGAGAUUUGGGAAGAAUCCACGGUAGAUGCUUCCGUCUAAUGCGGAGAUGCCACCAUGCCUUCAGUUACUGAUGGCGACUAAGCCAUGCCUUUGGUUCGCAUUGUUGCCUUAAGAUUCUGUCUGUCUAAAGAACCUGAAUGGCGGUGUGUUGAGCAUUAUCAGUACCUCUACUCUGGCUUUCGUAUCCUUCUUUGAUUAUUACUGAAAUUUAGGCUAAGUUUGCUG
This is a long non-coding RNA of Brachypodium distachyon (stiff brome), 520 nucleotides long. RefSeq lists it as uncharacterized. The transcript has 3 exons. The record is from RefSeq and is a predicted model, not a curated record. Lineage: Eukaryota; Viridiplantae; Streptophyta; Magnoliopsida; Poales; Poaceae.